GCCGCGGUAGCCAAGUGGUUUACGGCGCAGGCCUGGAAAGCCUGUGACUCUCGGGUCUCAUGGGUUCGAAUCCCAUCCGCGGCGCCA
RNAcentral lists this transfer RNA (87 nucleotides) under Candidatus Hermodarchaeota archaeon. RNAcentral describes it as "tRNA-Ser". It matches the Rfam family "tRNA". Rfam says of the family: Transfer RNA (tRNA) molecules are approximately 80 nucleotides in length. Their secondary structure includes four short double-helical elements and three loops (D, anti-codon, and T loops). The record is from RNAcentral. Lineage: Archaea; Promethearchaeati; Candidatus Hermodarchaeota.